This 231-nucleotide ribosomal RNA is filed under the name uncultured bacterium. RNAcentral describes it as "partial 16S ribosomal RNA". It matches the Rfam family "Bacterial small subunit ribosomal RNA", at positions 495 to 724 of the family's 1533-position model. The record is from RNAcentral.
UAGUAUCAGCGUGUCAGCAGCCGCGGUAAUACGUAGGGUGCGAGCGUUAAUCGGAAUUACUGGGCGUAAAGCGUAGCGCAGGCUGUUCUGUAAGUCAGAUGUGAAAUCCCCGAGCUCAACUUGGGAACUGCGUUUGAAACUACAGGACUAGAAUAUGUCAGAGGGGGGUAGAAUUCCACGUGUAGCAGUGAAAUGCGUAGAGAUGUGGAGGAAUACCAAUGGCGAAGGCAG